UCCUCGGUUCGCCAAAAUGAAGGGGUGCGU
This 30-nucleotide non-coding RNA is filed under the name Homo sapiens (human). The record is from RNAcentral. Lineage: Eukaryota; Metazoa; Chordata; Mammalia; Primates; Hominidae.